AUUGCUCGACAGGACCGAGUUAGCUCAUGCUAAGGAGCUAAUGCUAUAUGCUACUCUGCGUUAGCAAAGGUAGCUUCUAAACCCCCAGUGCUGUACGGUGGCGGUUGGAACCUGUGGCCGUGUUGUUAGCAGUCUAUGGCUCACAGUCAAGAUGAGUGACGACAUGAGGUUUCCCCAAACAGCAGACGACUGAAAGAUGAAAAAGAAGAUGCCGAAGUAUUGGUUGAUGACGUCAGAGCCCUUUUUGCCCUCCUUGGCCGCCUGGUUGUUACCGGAGAUGGUCAGGAUAGAAGUUUCCAAUGGAGUAGGUGACGUAGCAGGCCAUGCCAGCAACGAUGGUCCAUUUACAGCCCAGAUUUUUGAUCAGGAGGGGAGGCAGGAACAUGGAGGAUACGAUAAUGGAGGCGUAUAUGACGCUUAAAGACGCCACGCCCAUCCCCUGCUCUGCAUUCAGACUGCUCUGCAGCACAAGGACAAGACUGCAUUAGAGGGCAUCAUGCAAGAGCAGCAGCUUGUAGCCUCUUCAAUUCAAGAUUGGAAGACAAAUGGCGUCAAUAUGAAACACACUCAUUAAAACUGAUUAAUAACGCA
Molecule: long non-coding RNA, 591 nt
Organism: Micropterus dolomieu (smallmouth bass)
Lineage: Eukaryota; Metazoa; Chordata; Actinopteri; Centrarchiformes; Centrarchidae
Exons: 3
Source: RefSeq, a predicted model, not a curated record